ACAAGCCUGAGAAACGGCUAGUAGGACUAAGGUCUGCAGCAGGCGCGAAACUUACACAAUGCUAGAUUUCUAUCAUAGCGAUGUAGUGAAGAAAAAUAACGAUGUGCUUGUAUUUAAACAUACUUGCACAAUUGGAAUGAGACGACUCUAAACCAGUCAGUCGAGUAACAAAUGGAGGGCAAGUCUGGUGCCAGCAGCCGCGGUAAUUCCAGCUCCAUUAGCAUACAUUAAAGUUGUUGCGGUUAAAAAGCUCGUAGUUGAAUAUUGGACGGGCCUUUGUUGGCGGCGGUCGUUAAAGGUCGGCUCGGACUCCGGUCCAGCUGGCUGGCCGUCGACCAGCUUGGGGCUCGUUGUUUCGUCACUUAAUCGAGUGCGAAGCGGGUCGGAGCAAGCUGCAGCAAUGCACUCGCGACGACAUGUUUACCUUGAGAAAAUUAGAGUGCUCAGAGCAGGCAGUUGGGGUGUAAAAGCCCCUUUAUGCUUGAAUAAUGUUGCAUGGAAUAAUAGAAUACGGCCUCGGUUCUAUUCUGUUGGUCUUAUAGAACAACAAACAAGUUGGCUGGGGCACUAAACGGCGCGCCAAGGGCGUGGCCGCGCGCCCGUCCCUGUUGUCUGGGGCCUAAAAAUCUCAGUACCUCGGCGGAGCGCGGCCGCUAAGCGCCCUCGGCUGCGUUAGCCACCAACCAACUGAGGCAAUGGUUAAAAGAAAUAGUCGCGGCGGCAUCAGUACUGCAUCGUGAGAG
Molecule: ribosomal RNA, 743 nt
Filed under: Neotetra bambusae
Lineage: Eukaryota; Metazoa; Arthropoda; Arachnida; Trombidiformes; Eriophyidae
Description: partial 18S ribosomal RNA
Rfam family: Eukaryotic small subunit ribosomal RNA
Source: RNAcentral